RNAcentral lists this ribosomal RNA (1068 nucleotides) under uncultured bacterium. Its description in RNAcentral is "bacterial SSU rRNA". It matches the Rfam family "Bacterial small subunit ribosomal RNA", at positions 43 to 1109 of the family's 1533-position model. The record is from RNAcentral.
UGCGCGNGCUACCAUGCAGUCGAGCGGGGAGAAUGGAGGAGCUUGCUCCGAAAUUCUUCUAGCGGCGGACGGGUGAGUAACGCGUGAGCAAUCUUUCCUAAACAGGGGGAUAACGCAUCGAAAGGUGCACUAAUACCGCAUAAGACCACGGUGUCACAUGGGACUGAGGUCAAAGGAGAAAUCCGGUUUAGGGUGAGCUCGCGUCUGAUUAGCUAGUUGGUAGGGUAACAGCCUACCAAGGCGACGAUCAGUAGCCGACCUGAGAGGGUGAUCGGCCACACUGGGACUGAGACACGGCCCAGACUCCUACGGGAGGCAGCAGUGGGGAAUAUUGGGCAAUGGGGGAAACCCUGACCCAGCAACGCCGCGUGAGGGAAGAAGGUCUUCGGAUCGUAAACCUCUGUCCUCAAUGAAGAGCAGAAGACGGUAAUUGAGGAGGAAGCCCCGGCUAACUACGUGCCAGCAGCCGCGGUAAUACGUAGGGGGCAAGCGUUAUCCGGAAUGAUUGGGCGUAAAGGGCGCGUAGGCGGCCGUUUAAGAAUGGAGUGAAAGUCCUGCUUUUAAGGUGGGAAUUGCUUUGUUAACUGGACGGCUUGAGUGUAGGAGAGGUUAGUGGAAUUCCCGGUGUAGCGGUGAAAUGCGUAGAGAUCGGGAGGAACACCAGUGGCGAAGGCGACUAACUGGACUAUAACUGACGCUGAGGCGCGAAAGUGUGGGGAGCAAACAGGAUUAGAUACCCUGGUAGUCACACUGUAAACGAUGAAUGCUAGGUGUAGGGGGUAUCGACCCCUUCUGUGCCGGAGUAAACACAAUAAGCAUUCCGCCUGGGGAGUACGGCCGCANGGUUGAAACUCAAAGGAAUUGACGGGGGCCCGCACAAGCAGCGGAGCAUGUGGUUUAAUUCGAAGCAACGCGAANAACCUUUACCNAGGUCUUGACAUCCAGUAAAAACCUGCANANAUGCANUGUGCCUUNCNGGCGUACUGANACAGGUGGUGCAUGGUUGUCCUCAGCUCNUGUCNUGANAUNUUNGGGUUNAANUCCCNCCAACCNAGCCCCAACCCCUUU